Molecule: ribosomal RNA, 865 nt
Filed under: uncultured fungus
Lineage: Eukaryota; Fungi
Description: eukaryotic LSU rRNA
Rfam family: Eukaryotic large subunit ribosomal RNA (bases 631-865)
Source: RNAcentral
GGAAGGAUCAUUAUCGAAAUAAACUUGAACAGGCUGUUGCUGGUUCCUUUCAGGAGGGGCAUGUGCACGCUUGUCAUCUUUAUCAUUUCUCCAACUGUGCACAUAACUGUAGACCUGGGGGCUUUCUUUUUGGAACUCGUUCCGAGUUGGGACUGCUGUGCUUCAUCCGAGAGGUCGGCUUUGCCCUUUGCAUUUUCCAGGUCUAUGUCAUUUAUUUCACAACCUCUGUGUAAAAUGGUUUAGAAUGAUUGAACAAUAUAAAAAAAGUUAAUACAACUUUCAGCAACGGAUCUCUUGGCUCUCGCAUCGAUGAAGAACGCAGCGAAAUGCGAUAAGUAAUGUGAAUUGCAGAAUUCAGUGAAUCAUCGAAUCUUUGAACGCAUCUUGCGCUCCUUGGUAUUCCGAGGAGCAUGCCUGUUUGAGUGUCAUUCGACUUGUCAACCACAUCAAUUGCAAUGUGGCUUGGAUGUGGGGGUUCUUGCAGGCUCUCUCUUUCAUGAGGUCUGCUCCCCUGAAAUGCAUUAGUGGUAUCUGAGCAGAACUACUACCGUCAGGUGUGAUAAAUUAUCUAUGCCUUUGGGUAUGCUGCAUGAACAGAUUGUGCCGCUCAUAAUGAUUGUUUGACGAAUUUGACCUCAAAUCAGGUAGGACUACCCGCUGAACUUAAGCAUAUCAAUAAGCGGAGGAAAAGAAACUAACAAGGAUUCCCCUAGUAACUGCGAGUGAAGCGGGAAAAGCUCAAAUUUGAAAUCUGGUGGUCCUUGACCAUCCGAGUUGUAAUCUAGAGAAGUGUUACCUGUGCUGGACCGUGUAAAAGUCUUCUGGAAUGAAGCAUCACAGAGGGUGAGAAUCCCGUCUUUGACAU